Non-coding RNA from Potamilus streckersoni, 80 nucleotides. NCBI's taxonomy places the organism in Eukaryota, Metazoa, Mollusca, Bivalvia, Unionida, Unionidae. The record is from the annotation of a GenBank genome assembly.
GACCUCACCGUGGCCAAGUGGUCAGGGCAUCCUACUUUGAUGCAGGAGGCUGCUGGUUCGAACUCCGGCUGAGGUAUACA